Molecule: RNA transcript, 1540 nt
Organism: Nicotiana attenuata
Lineage: Eukaryota; Viridiplantae; Streptophyta; Magnoliopsida; Solanales; Solanaceae
Gene name: putative dual specificity protein phosphatase DSP8
Exons: 7
Source: RefSeq, a predicted model, not a curated record
CACUGCUCUUCUUUUCCACACUUUUGACUAUCAUCUGCUCUUUGAUCCUUCUUUUCUUCUCAAGAAACACGAUCAAUGAUCCGUACAACUCUCUCUUCUCGAUUUCUCUUUUUCCAAUAAUCACCAAACUACCCCCGAAAGUUUUUGUUUGAUCAAUUUAGGGUUUGAUCUUUAGCUGUUGUGAUCAGUUUAUUAGUGGAAAUGAAGAUAGUGGAUUUGGAUGAGUCGUUAAUGGAAGGUGAUGGCAAUUGUGUAAAUACUGAGAAACGGGUGAUUGUUGUUGGUGUUGAUGCUAAAAGAGCGUUGGUCGGAGCCGGGGCUCGGAUCCUUUUUUACCCGACCCUUUUAUACAAUGUUUUCCGCAACAAAAUUCAAUCGGAGUUCAGAUGGUGGGAUCAAAUUGAUCAGUUUCUCCUCCUUGGAGCAGUUCCAUUUCCCUCGGAUGUCCCUCGGUUGAAGCAGCUUGGCGUUGGUGGUGUAAUAACACUGAAUGAACCUUAUGAAACUUUGGUACCAUCAUCAUUGUACCAUGCCCAUGGGAUAGACCAUCUCGUUAUUCCUACCAGAGAUUAUCUUUUUGCACCCUCUUUCGUGGAUAUAAACCGAGCAGUAGAUUUUAUUCACAGGAAUGCGUCCAUUGGCCAGACUACGUAUGUACAUUGCAAAGCCGGAAGGGGAAGGAGCACAACCGUUGUGCUUUGCUAUUUGGUGGAAUAUAAGCACAUGACUCCUCGUGCUGCCCUGGAAUUCGUCCGUUCCAGAAGACCUAGAGUUUUAUUGGCUCCUUCUCAAUGGAAGGCUGUUCAAGAAUUCAAGCAGCAAAGAGUUGCAUCUUCACCGCUCUCGGGUGAUGCUGUAUUGAUCACUAAAGCAGAUCUUGAAGGAUAUCAUAGUUCUUCGGAUGAUAGUCAUGGUAAGGAACUAGCCCUUGUGCCUCGAAUAGCAAGAACGCAGCCGAUGAUAGCUAGAUUAUCCUGCCUCUUUGCAUCCUUGAAAGUAUCAGGUGGUUGUGGACCUGUUACCAGGCAACUGACUGAGGCACGUGCCUGCUAAUCGCACACUCAUCAGCAGCAGCUACCUUGUACAGAAGACCACUGCUAAAAUAAGGAAGAGAAACAGCAGAUGAUCAGCGACAAAGUCUACUUUCACUUCUCCCAAUUGUGAAGAUGUGUGGACAUCAUUCAUUGGCGUGUUGUUUAUCGGACAUGUAAAUGCAUAACGUUUAACCUAUAUGUUCAGAAGUUGUUGCCAUGUGAUCAGGAGGUCAUAGGUUCUAGUCGUGGAAACAGCAUCUUGCAAAAAUGUAGGGUAAGGCUGUGUAUGAUAGACCCUUGUGGUCCGUCCCUUCCCCGGACCCCGCGCAUAGCGGGAGCUUAGUUCAGAAGUUGUAUUCCCGGAGCUAAAAGAAAAAACCAUAAUAUGACACAUAGAGAAAUCCAAAAAAAAAAAAAAGGAAUGCUUACUAUUAUUGUUGUUGUUAUUGUUGUUGUCGUAUGGGGUAGGAAGAUUUUAUAAUGAAAUUGUAAUUUUUGGUGUCCUA